GACGAACGCUGGCGGCGUGCUUAACACAUGCAAGUCGAACGGAAAGGCCCUGCUUUUGUGGGGUGCUCGAGUGGCUAACGGGUUAGUAACACGUUAGUAACCUGCCCUUGACUUUGGUAUAACUUCAGGAAACUGGGGCUAAUACCGGAUAGGAGCUCCUGCUGCAUGGUGGGGGUUGGAACGUUUCGGCGGUUGGGGAUAGACUCGCGGCUUAUCAGCUUGUUGGUGGGGUAGUGGCUUACCAAGGCUUUGACGGGUAGCCGGCCUGAGAGGGUGACCGGCCACAUUGGGACUGAGAUAAGGCCCAGACUCAUAAGGGAGGCAGCAGUGGGGAAUAUUGCACAAUGGGCGGAAGCCUGAUGCAGCAACGCCGCGUGCGGGAUGACGGCCUUAGGGUUGUAAACCGCUUUCGCCUGUGACGAAGCGUGAGUGACGGUAAUGGGUAAAGAAGCACCGGCUAACUACGUG
This 468-nucleotide ribosomal RNA is filed under the name uncultured bacterium. RNAcentral's name for it is "partial 16S ribosomal RNA". It matches the Rfam family "Bacterial small subunit ribosomal RNA", at positions 28 to 507 of the family's 1533-position model. The record is from RNAcentral.